Long non-coding RNA from Arachis stenosperma, 892 nucleotides. RefSeq lists it as uncharacterized. NCBI's taxonomy places the organism in Eukaryota, Viridiplantae, Streptophyta, Magnoliopsida, Fabales, Fabaceae. The record is from RefSeq and is a predicted model, not a curated record. The transcript is spliced from 3 exons.
ACCGCCUGGAACGUGAGAAUUGUACGGAGAGAAAACUAGUGCAAUGGUAUAUGUUUUUAAAAUUUCUUAAACAAACAAAACUAUAAUGCAUGUUGAGGCCAUGAUCGUAAAGUCCAAUCAAUACUCACAUUGCUAUUCUUUAUUGGACUCAAACCCAAUAGAGAAACCUACCUAACAAUUUUUUUUUGGCACGGUGUGGGCCAAAGGGCCCGACCCACACCAACAAACACAAAAACUCAACCGAGUCCCCCAUGGAUUCAACCCAACUUCAGAAAAACAAGCAUCCUCUUCCUAAUUACUACUUAAAGUUUUUGAGCUACAUUACAUGAUCAUGGAACUCACUAAUCCAUUUUGAAUACAUAGUUGACGCUUCUCUAUGUUUUGAGAUUUGGUUUCUUCUCAACUCCGCUAUUGAAGCACGAAAGGAAUAACUUCGAUAGUUGUGGCCUCCGCACAAGGCUCACGUUGCUGCCUCUCAAUGUCAGUUCAUAAGCCUCUCUCCCUUCUUCCCAGCAAGACUCUAAGAGUAAUAAAGAACUCUUGAAGACUCUCGUAUCCCCACCCUCAUAGGUUGGAUACAAGAGUCCAUGUAAAACCACUGCAUUGAAUUGUUCCUGCCAUCUUCCAUAUGUCCUCAAACAUCGGAUACACUUCAGCUAUUAGUGUCUUCGACUUGAUAGCUUGGUAACUUCCCUUCAUGAUCUCUAAACACCGCUGCUAUGGCUCCGCUUGCUGUUUCUCCCUGGAAUGUAGCAUUAGUGUUGCAUUUUAUCCAAUCUUUGGGUAAAAAAUGCCAGGUAACUUUUCUUUUUCCUCUUCUAAUGAUAUGGAGUGUUGCAUUUAAUUUAUCAAUUGUUUUUGCAUGCCCAUGCUCUAACAAUCUAGCUUUGAA